This 468-nucleotide ribosomal RNA is filed under the name uncultured bacterium. Its description in RNAcentral is "partial 16S ribosomal RNA". It matches the Rfam family "Bacterial small subunit ribosomal RNA", at positions 28 to 507 of the family's 1533-position model. The record is from RNAcentral.
GACGAACGCUGGCGGCGUGCUUAACACAUGCAAGUCGAACGGAAAGGCCCUGCUUUUGUGGGGUGCUCGAGUGGCGAACGGGUGAGUAACACAUGAGUAACCUGCCCUUGACUUUGGGAUAACUUCAGGAAACUGGGGCUAAUACCGGAUAGGAGCUCCUGCUGCAUGGGGGGGGUUGGAAAGUUUCGGCGGUUGGGGAUGGACUCGCGGCUUAUCAGCUUGUUGGUGGGGUAGUGGCUUACCAAGGCUUUGACGGGUAGCCGGCCUGAGAGGGUGACCGGCCACAUUGGGACUGAGAUACGGCCCAGACUCCUACGGGAGGCAGCAGUGGGGAAUAUUGCACAAUGGGCGGAAGCCUGAUGCAGCAACGCCGCGUGCGGGAUGACGGCCUUCGGGUUGUAAACCGCUUUCGCCUGUGACGAAGCGUGAGUGACGGUAAUGGGAAAAGAAGCACCGGCUAACUACGUG